GUGCUCACUUCAGCAGCACAUAUACUAAAACUGGAAAGAUGCAGAGAAGAUUAGCAUGGCCCCCACACAAGGAUGACAUGCAAAUUCAUGAAGUGUUUUGUAUUUUU
Molecule: small nuclear RNA, 107 nt
Filed under: Moschus moschiferus (Siberian musk deer)
Lineage: Eukaryota; Metazoa; Chordata; Mammalia; Artiodactyla; Moschidae
Source: RNAcentral